This 80-nucleotide small RNA is filed under the name Flavobacterium sp. 81. Its description in RNAcentral is "Flavo-1 RNA". It matches the Rfam family "Flavo-1 RNA". RNAcentral also lists the same sequence under 1 other name. Lineage: Bacteria; Pseudomonadati; Bacteroidota; Flavobacteriia; Flavobacteriales; Flavobacteriaceae. The record is from RNAcentral.
UCCUAGCCCAGAUAGAAGUGGAAAUCCUUUUUCUGGCUUCUUUAGCCAGAAAAAGAUUGAAAUGGAUUGCUUCGCCAGUU